GAUGAACGCUAGCUACAGGCUUAACACAUGCAAGUCGAGGGGUAGCAGGGUAGCAAUACCGCUGACGACCGGCGCACGGGUGAGUAACACGUAUCCAACCUUCCCAUAACUCGGGGAUAGCCUUUCGAAAGAAAGAUUAAUACCGGAUGGUACUUUUUCAAGGCAUCUUGAGAAAGUUAAAGAUUUAUUGGUUAUGGAUGGGGAUGCGUUCCAUGAGAUAGUUGGUGAGAUAACGGCUCACCAAGUCUUCGAUGGAUAGGGGUUCUGAGAGGAAGGUUCCCCACAUUGGUAAUGAAACACGGACCAAACUCCUACAGGAGGCAGCAGUGAGGAAUAUUGGUCAAUCGGCGGGAGCCUGAACCAUCCAAGUAUCGUGAAGGAUGAAGGUCCUAUGGAUUGUAAACUUCUUUUAUAGUAGAAUAAAGUGAUCCACGUGUGGAUUUUUGUAUGUAUACUAUGAAUAAGGAUCGGCUAACUCCGUGCCAGCCGCCGCAGUAA
This 498-nucleotide ribosomal RNA is filed under the name uncultured bacterium. Its description in RNAcentral is "partial 16S ribosomal RNA". It matches the Rfam family "Bacterial small subunit ribosomal RNA", at positions 28 to 523 of the family's 1533-position model. The record is from RNAcentral.